Molecule: ribosomal RNA, 253 nt
Filed under: uncultured bacterium
Lineage: Bacteria
Description: partial 16S ribosomal RNA
Rfam family: Bacterial small subunit ribosomal RNA
Source: RNAcentral
UACGGAGGAUCCAAGCGUUAUCCGGAUUUAUUGGGUUUAAAGGGUGCGUAGGCGGGCCCUUAAGUCAGUGGUGAAAGUUUGCAGCUUAACUGUAAAAUUGCCAUUGAAACUGAGGGUCUUGAGUGUAAAUAAGGUAGGCGGAAUGUGUUGUGUAGCGGUGAAAUGCUUAGAUAUAACACAGAACACCAAUUGCGAAGGCAGCUUACUGGGAUACAACUGACGCUGAGGCACGAAAGCGUGGGGAUCAAACAGG